Molecule: ribosomal RNA, 884 nt
Filed under: uncultured bacterium
Lineage: Bacteria
Also listed under: 1 other name
Description: bacterial SSU rRNA
Rfam family: Bacterial small subunit ribosomal RNA
Source: RNAcentral
GAUCCAGACUUUGAUCCUGGCUCAGGAUGAACGCUGGCGGCGUGCUUAACACAUGCAAGUCGAACGAAGCGAGAGGAGCUUGCUCCUUAAGCUUAGUGGCGGACGGGUGAGUAACGUGUGGGCAACCUGCCUUUUACAGGGGAAUAAUCACUGGAAACGGUGACUAAUACCGCAUACGAUCUUCGGAAGGCAUCUUCUGGAGAGGAAAGGAGCAAUCCGGUAAAAGAUGGGCCCGCAUCUGAUUAGCUAGUUGGUGAGAUAAUAGCCCACCAAGGCAACGAUCAGUGGCCGACCUGAGAGGGUGAUCGGCCACAUUGGGACUGAGACACGGCCCAAACUCCUACGGGAGGCAGCAGUGGGGAAUAUUGCACAAUGGGGGAAACCCUGAUGCAGCAACGCCGCGUGAAGGAAGAAGGUUUUCGGAUCGUAAACUUCUAUCAAUAGGGACGAAUAAAUGACGGUACCUAAAUAAGAGGCCCCGGCUAACUACGUGCCAGCAGCCGCGGUAAUACGUAGGGGGCAAGCGUUAUCCGGAAUUACUGGGUGUAAAGGGAGCGUAGGCGGCAUGGUAAGUAAGAUGUGAAAGCCCGAGGCUUAACCUCGAGGAUUGCAUUUUAAACUAUCAAGCUAGAGUACAGGAGAGGAAAGCGGAAUUCCUAGUGUAGCGGUGAAAUGCGUAGAUAUUAGGAAGAACACCAGUGGCGAAGGCGGCUUUCUGGACUGAAACUGACGCUGAGGCUCGAAAGCGUGGGGAGCGAACAGGAUUAGAUACCCUGGUAGUCCACGCCGUAAACGAUGAGUGCUAGGUGUCGGGGAGGAAUCCUCGGUGCCGCAGUUAACACAAUAAGCACUCCACCUGGGGAGUACGACCGCAAGGUUGCAAC